UCCCAGACUCCUACGGGAGGCAGCAGUGGGGAAUAUUGGACAAUGGGGGGAACCCUGAUCCAGCGACGCCGCGUGAGUGAAGAAGUAUUUCGGUAUGUAAAGCUCUAUCAGCAGGGAAGAAAAUGACGGUACCUGAGUAAGAAGCCCCGGCUAACUACGUGCCAGCAGCCGCGGUAAUACGUAGGGGGCAAGCGUUAUCCGGAUUUACUGGGUGUAAAGGGAGCGUAGACGGCAGUGCAAGUCUGGAGUGAAAGGCGGGGGCUCAACCCCCGGACUGCUCUGGAAACUGUACGGCUGGAGUGCAGGAGAGGUAAGUGGAAUUCCUAGUGUAGCGGUGAAAUGCGUAGAUAUUAGGAGGAACACCAGUGGCGAAGGCGGCUUGCUGGACUGUAAAUGACGCUGAGGCUCGAAAGCGUGGGGAGCAAACAGGAUUAGAUACCCUAGUA
This 446-nucleotide ribosomal RNA is filed under the name uncultured bacterium. RNAcentral describes it as "bacterial SSU rRNA". It matches the Rfam family "Bacterial small subunit ribosomal RNA", at positions 329 to 792 of the family's 1533-position model. The record is from RNAcentral.